This 66-nucleotide transfer RNA is filed under the name Desmognathus conanti. Its description in RNAcentral is "tRNA-Cys". The record is from RNAcentral. Lineage: Eukaryota; Metazoa; Chordata; Amphibia; Caudata; Plethodontidae.
GUCCUGUGGUGUACAGCACAUAAAGUUGCAAACUUUAAAGAGCAGAUAUGACUCCUGCCGGGGCUU